GUGCUUCGGGUGCGGCCCCGGUCCAAGUCCCUUGGAACAGGGCGUCGCAGAGGGUGAGAGUCCCGUACGCGGCCGAUGGCCAAGCCCAUGUGAAGCCCUUUCGACGAGUCGAGUUGUUUGGGAAUGCAGCUCUAAAUGGGUGGUAAAUUUCAUCUAAAGCUAAAUAUCUGCCGGAGACCGAUAGCGCACAAGUAGAGUGAUCGAAAGAUGAAAAGCACUUUGAAAAGAGAGUCAAACAGUACGUGAAAUUGUUGAAAGGGAAGCGCUUGCAAUCAGACUCGUUCGCGGGUGCUCAGCCGUCCCUCGGGGCGGUGCACUCUCCCGCGUUUCGGGCCAACAUCGGUUUUGGCGGCCGGAUAAAGGCACUGGGAACGUAGCUCUCUUCGGGGAGUGUUAAGCCCAGGGUGCAAUGCGGCCAGCCGGGACCGAGGACCGCGCGUUCGCUAGGAUGCUGGCGUAAUGGUUGCCAGCGACCCGUCUUGAAACACGGACCAAGGAGUCGACCAAUCUGGCGAGUUUUAGGGCAUGAAACCCUGAAGCGCAAUGAAAGUGAACGUAGGUGGGAGCCCCCGGGUGCACCAUCGACCGAUCCUGAUGUCCUCGGAUGGAUUUGAGUAUGAGCCCGGUUGGUCGGACCCGAAAGUGAGUUUUUUCCAGGCUCUCCCCCGGGCACUCUUGCUAACGAAUGCUUCAGGAUGGUGAACUAUGCGUGAAUAGGGUGAAGCCAGAGGAAACUCUGGUGGAGGCUCGCAGCGGUUCUGACGUGCAAAUCGAUCGUCAAAUUUGCGCAUAGGGGCGAAAGACUAAUCGAACUAUCU
RNAcentral lists this ribosomal RNA (818 nucleotides) under Ocellularia erodens. Its description in RNAcentral is "partial large subunit ribosomal RNA". It matches the Rfam family "Eukaryotic large subunit ribosomal RNA", at positions 159 to 945 of the family's 3401-position model. Lineage: Eukaryota; Fungi; Ascomycota; Lecanoromycetes; Ostropales; Graphidaceae. The record is from RNAcentral.